GGGGUCGUGGCCGAGAGGCUCAGGCACUUGAUUGUCGAUCAAGACUACGCGAGUUCGAAUCUCGUCGAUCCCG
This 73-nucleotide transfer RNA is filed under the name Acidobacteriota bacterium. RNAcentral's name for it is "tRNA-Asp". It matches the Rfam family "tRNA". From Rfam's summary of the family: Transfer RNA (tRNA) molecules are approximately 80 nucleotides in length. RNAcentral also lists the same sequence under 2 other names. The record is from RNAcentral. Lineage: Bacteria; Pseudomonadati; Acidobacteriota.